Molecule: ribosomal RNA, 471 nt
Filed under: Aspergillus ochraceus
Lineage: Eukaryota; Fungi; Ascomycota; Eurotiomycetes; Eurotiales; Aspergillaceae
Description: partial large subunit ribosomal RNA
Rfam family: Eukaryotic large subunit ribosomal RNA
Source: RNAcentral
CAGUAACGGCGAGUGAAGCGGCAAAGAGCUCAAAUUUGAAAUCUGGCCCCUCCGGGGUCCGAGUUGUAAUUUGUAGAGGAUGCUUCGGGUGCGGCCCCCGUCUAAGUGCCCUGGAACGGGCCGUCAUAGAGGGUGAGAAUCCCGUCUGGGAUGGGGUGUCCGCGCCCGUGUGAAGCUCCUUCGACGAGUCGAGUUGUUUGGGAAUGCAGCUCUAAAUGGGUGGUAAAUUUCAUCUAAAGCUAAAUACUGGCCGGAGACCGAUAGCGCACAAGUAGAGUGAUCGAAAGAUGAAAAGCACUUUGAAAAGAGAGUUAAAAAGCACGUGAAAUUGUUGAAAGGGAAGCGCUUGCGACCAGACUCGCCCGCGGGGUUCAGCCGGCUUUCGUGCCGGUGUACUUCCCCGCGGGCGGGCCAGCGUCGGUUUGGGCGGCCGGUCAAAGGCCCCCGGAAUGUAACACCCUUCCGGGUGCC